CAAUAGCGUAUAUUAAAGUUGUUGCAGUUAGAACGCUCGUAGUCGGAUUUCGGGGCGGGCCGACCGGUCUGCCGAUGGGUAUGCACUGGUCGGCGCGUCCUUCCUUCCGGAGACCGUCCCUACUCUUAACUGAGCGGGGGCGGGAGACGGGACUUUUACUUUGAAAAAAUCAGAGUGUUUCAAGCAGGCAGCUCGCUCUUGCAUGGAUUAGCAUGGGAUAAUGAAAUAGGACUUUGGUGCUAUUUUGUUGGUUUCGAACACCGAAGUAAUGAUGAGAAGGGACAGUCAGGGGCACUCGUAUUCCGCCGAGAGAGGUGAAAUUCUCAGACCAGCGGGAGACGAACCACUGCGAAAGCAUUUGCCAGGGAUGUUUUCACUGA
Molecule: ribosomal RNA, 380 nt
Filed under: uncultured eukaryote
Lineage: Eukaryota
Description: partial 18S ribosomal RNA
Rfam family: Eukaryotic small subunit ribosomal RNA
Source: RNAcentral